GAUAAACGCUGGCGGCGCACAUAAGACAUGCAAGUCGAACGGACUUAACCAUUAGUUUACUAUUGGAGCGGUUAGUGGCGGACUGGUGAGUAACACGUGAGCAACCUACCUAUCAGAGGGGAACAACAGUUAGAAAUGACUGCUAAUACCGCAUAUGCCUUAGUAACACAUGUUACAAAAGGGAAAGAAGCAAUUCGCUGAUAGAUGGGCUUGCGUCUGAUUAGCUGGUUGGCGGGGUAACGGCCCACCAAGGCGACGAUCAGUAGCCGGACUGAGAGGUUGGCCGGCCACAUUGGGACUGAGACACGGCCCAG
This 314-nucleotide ribosomal RNA is filed under the name uncultured bacterium. RNAcentral describes it as "bacterial SSU rRNA". It matches the Rfam family "Bacterial small subunit ribosomal RNA", at positions 28 to 334 of the family's 1533-position model. The record is from RNAcentral.